This is an RNA transcript of Gallus gallus (chicken), 7437 nucleotides long. It is a transcript of the gene named polypeptide N-acetylgalactosaminyltransferase 3, with no coding region annotated. The transcript has 18 exons. Lineage: Eukaryota; Metazoa; Chordata; Aves; Galliformes; Phasianidae. The record is from RefSeq and is a predicted model, not a curated record.
GGGCGGCGCGCACCUGGCUGCCGACGAGCGGAAGGCGCCGCCGCAGCCCCCGUGCGCCGUGGGCGGCCUCCGGCCGGGGCGGGCACCGCGCUUUCCUCCGCCGGUCAGCCGCUCGCCCGGGCGGCCCUUCUUCCGCCGGACCAGGUAUUAUAUUUUCAAGAUAUGCUGUGACAUAGUAUUAAAGAACACCAUUCAGAGAAGCUUUUGUUUAGUGAUAAACUUUUAGAACUAGAAUGGCUUUGAAAAUAGUGCCUAAACUAUUCAAGAAAUUAUUUUUUCACUGGAAACUUUGGAAAUUCAGCAUUAUAGUGUUUGUCUUUCUAGUAUUUUUAUUUUUAUUGCAACGAGAAGUUGGUGUCCAAGAUUUUAGAGAUGAAGGAGGGAUUGAGCCAGUUGUCAGAAAGAAAAGUCAUGUAUUAGGUCUUGUGUUAAAUGCUAUGAACAAUAUCAAUGGUGCAAAGCCAAAAAUGCAGAUAAAAGCACCUGUAAGGCAAACUAAGGUUCCCGGAGAGAGACACUGUUUGCCAGGGCACUAUACUGCGAUGGAACUAAAACCCUUUCUAGAUCGACCCCUUCAAGAUCCAAAUGCUCCUGGAGCUUCUGGUAAAGCCUUUAAAACCGUCAACUUAAAUCCAGAAGAGCAGAAAGAGAAAGAGCGUGGAGAAGAAAAACAUUGUUUCAAUGCCUUUGCAAGCGAUAGGAUUUCGUUACACCGAGAUCUUGGACCAGACACUCGACCUCCUGAAUGCAUUGAACAAAAGUUCAAGCGUUGCCCGCCAUUGCCAACCACAAGUGUUAUAAUAGUUUUUCAUAAUGAAGCGUGGUCCACUCUGCUCAGAACUGUUCACAGCGUGAUGUACACUUCUCCUGCCAUACUACUAAAGGAAAUCAUUUUGGUGGAUGAUGCCAGUGUUGAUGAAUACUUGCAUGAUAAACUUGAUGAGUAUGUGAAGCAAUUUCAGAUUGUUAAAGUAGUCCGUCAAAAAGAAAGAAAAGGUCUAAUCACUGCACGGUUGUUGGGAGCUUCAGUGGCAACGGGAGAGACUCUCACCUUUCUGGAUGCUCAUUGUGAAUGCUUCUAUGGCUGGUUAGAACCAUUGCUGGCAAGAAUAGCUGAGAAUUCUGUUGCUGUUGUAAGCCCUGAUAUUGCUUCUAUCGAUCUCAAUACUUUUGAAUUUAGUAAACCAUCUCCUUAUGGGCAUAACCACAAUAGAGGAAAUUUUGACUGGAGUUUGUCAUUUGGAUGGGAGUCUCUUCCUAAAUAUGAAAAUAAAAGAAGAAAAGAUGAAACCUAUCCAAUCAGAACACCUACUUUUGCUGGAGGUCUCUUUUCAAUAUCAAAAGAGUAUUUUGAACACAUUGGAAGCUAUGAUGAUGAAAUGGAAAUAUGGGGAGGUGAAAAUAUAGAAAUGUCUUUCAGAGUAUGGCAAUGUGGUGGACUGUUGGAGAUCAUGCCUUGCUCUGUUGUUGGCCAUGUCUUUCGCAGCAAGAGUCCCCAUACUUUCCCAAAAGGUACUCAAGUGAUCACACGUAAUCAAGUCCGCCUCGCAGAAGUCUGGAUGGAUGAAUAUAAAGAAAUUUUUUACCGAAGAAACACAGAGGCAGCAAAAAUUGUGAAACAAAAAACAUUUGGAGACAUCUCAAAAAGGCUCGACUUAAGGCAGCGUUUGCAGUGUAAAAAUUUUACCUGGUAUCUCAAUAAUGUUUAUCCUGAAGUCUAUGUUCCAGACCUAAACCCUUUGUUUUCUGGAUAUCUAAAAAAUGUAGGUAACCACAUGUGUCUGGAUGUUGGUGAAAACAACCAUGGUGGCAAACCAUUGAUCAUGUAUUCUUGUCAUGGACUUGGAGGAAAUCAGUACUUUGAGUAUUCUGCACACCAUGAAAUUCGUCAUAAUAUUCAGAAGGAGCUUUGUCUGCAUGCUUCUAAGGGACCUGUGCAGCUUCGUGAAUGUAGCUACAAAGGGCAGAAAAUCUUUGCCUUUGGAGAGGAGCAAUGGCAGCAUCAAAAGGGGUCAGAAGCACAUGUUCUCGUUGGUAUAACUUACUACAUCAGCAUUUUUCUUGAGUAAUUAUGGAAAGGAGCCACGGGUGUUGAAGAAGGCUUGAUUUCAGGCACAGACAGCUCAGGCUUGCUCCUGGCAGGAUGAAGCAGAUCCCAGAUGUGCUUUGGGGGCAUGUGGCUCGAGGUAGCUCCUGCUCUCCCACCAACAAGAGGCCCUGCUGACCCGAUCCUUUGUGACUGCCUGGACACAGUACUAUUACCCGCGCUGGGACUUUGCUUGCUCUCAAUAUACCCUCAGGAGUAUCUGCAGAUCUACAUAAAUAUAUUUAUCCGGUGCUAGGCUGUGCCAUAUCGAGCAUGACUUUCAUCCUCUGGAUCUACAGACAUCAAGAGAGAUAGGAGGAUCCCCUUCCACGUCUGCAGCUUAUGGGGUUUUCAGGGAGGAAGGAAGAAACAAGAAUGAGAAGACUAAUUCUGCAGAACAUCGAGAUAUUUCAUGAAUCACAUGCUCUUACUGAGGAAGAAGAGACAGCGAAAAGGAAGCAAUUAUGAAGAACUCAAGCAUGUGUUCCUUCAGACAUCUUUACAACUAAACACCACUUAUUUAUCACUUCAUAAGGUUUGUGCUUUGGAUUGCAUGCCACUUCGAGAAAAUGGACAGUUAAUUAUUAGCACAUGUACUGAUUACUGAGAACAGCAAAAUUAAGGUAUACUUUUAAAAAGAAAUUAAAAAUUAAGAACUAUUAAAAAUGUUGAGAUUUCUCAUGCCAGUCAGCGUGUUAAUGAACUCAAUGCUUUGUGUGCAAAUGCUUUGAAAAUAACAGUAGCUUUCAACUAUUAAAAAAAAAAAAAGGGGGGGGAUCAGAUUUAAUAUUUUAGAAAUAAAUUCUAUAGAAUACAUUCUCUGAGUUAAUUCUAUUUUUUAAAGUAUUUUACAACAUAUGCUUUGUGACCAUGGUAAAGUAGGUGAUAAAAUUAGUCUUUAGCUCCAGUAGGAAAGCACAACACUCCUAAACACUAGAGGAUUUCCGGAAUCAUUAUCUUUUGUGCCUUUUUCUGAUUGCCUCAGAAAUACUCAAAAGCACUUGAGUUCACGUAGCUCAUGAGUUAAAACACUGGAGUUUCUUGCUUAGCAAAUGCCAUUAAAAUAGUAUUGUGGCUCAAACCGUCUCUUUUGCUAUAGCUCAAAUUGAGGGUACCUACUUUGCCACAGAAGCGGCCCUGGCAAGGAGUUUCAACUGACAGAACUCAGCUAGCAAAAGAAGAUAAACAGAGGAAUAAGACUGCCUGUUGCUGGUGUCAUUGGCAAACCAAGAUCUUGCUGCUCAACUGUUACGUGCUCAACAGAACCUUUUAUGAACUAAGGUGUUUCUCUUUAAAGAUGGGUAUUUGCUAUAUGGAAGUGGAGAACACAUGCAUUUACCUGGCUACUCAGCCUGUACAGAAAGAGAUUACAGUGACUAAGAGCAGCAGGGCCUAAGGAACUGCUGAGGCAGUUAAUCAACAUGACUGCACUUUCCCAGAACACGGAGAAAACAUCCAAGUUUUGCUACAAUGGACUUUAAGAUCUUACAUACACCUCGGAGUCUGGAGCUAUGGCAUUCCUCCAAAAUAGUUCACAGUUUUUGCAGUUGAAACGUUACUGCAAAAUGGCACUAAAGUGCAUAAGUACAUUGAAAAUUAGGACUUAAACCUGGUUAUUUCAAACUAUCAUUUUUAACAAUCUUGCACAGGCCCGACCAUCAAAAACUUGAAGCUUUGAUUCAGAUAGCUUGGCAGGUUUCACAUAUUUGACAGGUAGGCUACUUUGAAAUAUGUUAGGUGUGGUUUUUUACUUACGUGUUUUACUUUUAUCAAAAGACAGUCUGACAUUGGUUUGCUUUUUUUAAUCUUUACAUGAACUGCUUCUGUACAGUGCCUCUGGCAAUGUAGCUUGAAGGUGUGUCCGGAACACUGACUAUAGCCCAAGUGUUGUCUACCUCUGUAAAAAAUAAUAAGAUUCUAGGAAAUCCAACUUGAGUGCAUUUUAUUACAGGAAGUCAGUCUUAGAAUAAUUUUAAUAUUAAACAGGUACUGUUUCUACCACUGGAGAUUUGAUGCACUCUUCGUGCAGUCUACUCUUUUCUGAGAGGACUAGUGAAUUCUCAGCAGGGUGCUCUUGUACACAACUCUCGCCGUUCAAAGCUGGAACAAAUCCAUCUUGCGAAGGACCUUUCAAGAAUGAGUGAAAUUCCACUUGAGGGUGACUUGGCCUAUGCUCAGUGUAUAAACUGUUACAUGGAGCACUGCUGUCACCUUCAGAAGAUGAGCAGCAAACAAUCACUGAGGGGUUUGCAGAAGGGUAAUGAGGGCUGCUAAAAGUUUCCUCUGAUUGCCGCGUGUAGUCAACAAACUGUUCUGAAGUCAUGCUGUAAGGCACCAGAGAAAGACUGCCAUUCUUGACAGCAUCCCUUUCUGAGUAAGUCUCGCCAAUCUGGUUAGCAGUGCCAGCAACAUGGUUCUCUAUUUGGUAAUAUAGAUUUGAAGAGUUAGUAUAGUAUGAGGCAUUUUUAGAGUGGUUUUCAUGCACAGCAGUUCCAUCAGAGUAGCAAAGGACAGAAGGAAGAGGCACCAUGUCAGCAUGGGAGCUCAUACUUUCUACAAAGUCAUCUGCUUUUUCUUCCUCAUCAUCUUCCUCAUCUUCCUCUUCCUCUUCAUCAUCAUCUGAUUCACUAGGAGCUAAACUCUGAGUGCUAGAAUCAGUAACUCCACUACAAAAGCUACUCCCAUCUUCCUCUUCCUCCUCUUCCCCAGGACAGUCCAAGUCCUCGGCUGACUGAGAAUGCAUGACUGCAGCCUGAGGUUCAGUUUCAAUCUCAAAAUUUUCUGCAAUUGAAUAUUCAACCGGAUGGGGUCCCGGACUCAUAGAACUAGUGUGUGCACUUAUCUCACUGUGGCAGCCAUUUAGUGACGGAACUUGCUGUUCUCUAUUUUUCUCCAAUUCAAGUUUCAUUAUUGUGUGCAAAAAGUGAGUCCGUACACGGAUAGGAUUAAAUUCAAUUCUACCUGCUGUAUUGCUACACCCUUCUUUAGUGCAACCACAUGGAAAAGACAUACGAUCCACCUUUUGAAAAAGAGAAUACAGAUUAACAAUACUUAGCAUAAACCUGGUCAUAUCACAGAACCUAGAAAGCCUAAAAAUAGACAGAGAUGAAGUGGAAUUCACUUGAAGUACUUGCAAGAAUAAGCCAUGUCAAAUAUCCGUAUGUCUCAUAAUAUCCAUCUUAAGCAUAUAAAAGUAUGACUGAAUCCACAAAUCAAGUAGUUGUAUUAGCUUAAGGUCUGUGAUUUUUAUCUACACUGUAAUACCUAAACAUCAAAUGUGAUGCAGAAGAGAGCCAUAUGAAACAAUCAAUCUAGUACAUCUUCUCAAAAUGUGAAGAUGAAAACAGGAGCAGCAAAGGGAAUAUAUUAUUCAGAACAGCAGAGAAAAUUUAGCUGGGAUUUAGGAAAUGAUGAAAAAAAUGCAUAUACAAAUAAACCAACUCAGCUGCAUAAGAGCUACUCAUGGUAAUUAGCAGAAACCAUCUUUUAGGGAAUUCCUAUUUGGUACAUUUACAGCUAUAUGUACAAAAUGCGAUACCGUUAAAUCUGCAGAGAGAAAAACUACCUGCUAUGUUUUGUUGCCUACAUGCAGUUUUUCAUGCUUGCAUGUUAAGUGUCAUGCAUGUUAAAGAAAGGUCAGUACCGUAGUCCGACUUAUUACUUCUUAUUGAGUUUGGAUUAUAAUUCACAUGUGGACAGUAUGUGAAUUGUCUCUAAAACAAAAGCUACAUACCCUUGUGAAAUCUGCAGGCUACUGAUUCUUCUGUUUCCAUUUGCAUGUUUAGAUAAAGGCCAAAGGGGAACAUGAGGAGGAAAAUAUUUAUGUAUGAACAAAGAAAAAAAAAUACUGAACAGUGUAUAUGCCUAAACUGAUCAUAAAAGUGUUUAAGGAGAAAAAUUGUAUUGCACACUACAUACUCUUAAAUCCAAGCCAGAAACUAGUUUAAGAUCCACAAGUGUUACUGUUUAAUAAUUCACUUAAUAAUCUUUCAGUACUUACCACCUUAACAAAAAAAGUGCAUGCACACACACCUCUACAACCCCUUCCCUUGCUAUUUAAAUGAUGACAAUAAUAUAGACAUUUACCUGACACUUUAUGCCUGCAAGACUGCAAGUGCAAGUUUCUGGAUCACAAAACACACGGCAGUCACAGCCACAAUCCUCUCUGGACAGCCGGAUGGCCCGUAGCUCAUGUUUUUCUUCCACGUCAAUCUUCUUCACUCCAGAAGCUCGCAGCAGUGCCCUUCGCUUUUUUGUUGGCAGGGGUUGUAGAAAGAAAUACUCAUCUACUUCAGUGUUGUCCAGAUCAAUAUCAUCAUCAGAAAUGUCAUCCAGUGUCAAUGUAUUAGCCUCUUCAGAUUCCACUGUACCAUUCUUUGUCAUCUGUUACAUAGAACAAUUAACAAAGUGCUUAAACAACAGUUACACAGUUGUCAUGUAUGUGUAUCUAUAUUUAUUUAUAUAAAUAUGUAAUAAAUUAAUUAUGAAUGUGGAAAGCCAUAUGUGAGGAAACAAAACAAUUAUACCAUCUAGCUACAUGCAUCUUAUGUCUAACAAAGCAGUCCUGAAUCUUACCUGUACCACUCUUGCUGCUUUUACUACAUUCUCAACUGCAUUUUUCAUUUCCCAUUUAUAUAACAAAAUCUUUUGCAUUCUGUCAUUUUAUAGCAUAAUUGAAUUACUCAAUGAUAAACUCCUACUGACGACUUACUUUUUUUGUAAUUGCAAUUUUAUGUUUAUAAUAACUGUAUAAGACAAUCAGAAGAAAACAUUAUUUCCGACUUGUACUGUCAGGUUAAAAGUGACACUCAUCCCCCUCAGAUGGGAGGAGCCUCAGUAUUCUGAUUGCAAUGUUUAUACAGCAUACAUACAUGUAACACAAGGAAAAUCUCUCCCUAGAUCAGUAAUUAUCUCUUCUUAGCAAUUCAGCACCAUAUUUAUUUAAUGCAGUUCUACUUUUACAGGCAUUAUUGUUUCUUUGCAGUAUAUUCUUACUCUUUUUCUGUAAGUGCAUGCAGCCUUCAGAGCUUAGUGCCUUCAUUUUAGUUCAUGUUUAAUGUUAUUUACCAUGCCUGUUAUCCCUAGUUUUACAUGCACAUACAUUCAUCUCUUUCUUCAUCUGAAAUGCAGGCAUGUUCAAAAUUUGUAAUUUCAGAGCACCACAGCUCCUUUUCACUCCUUUGCUGGAUGACUCCCUUGUAUUCUCUGAUUUUUUUCUCCAUUUUGUCACACCAAGAACAAAUCAAUUAAUGAAACUGAAAGCUUUGAACAUUUCUCAAGCAAUUAAUUGGUUAACUACAGAUGGGAGAUUAUCAAGAACUAUCAAAUAUAUUUUUCAAUUCAAAACCUCA